AGAUAACCCUGAUUGCAGCUUUGUUUGAGCUCAUUUUAUAGGUUUCGGCGCGGCAGCUUCGCUGCCGCGCCGAAACCUAUAAAAUAGCGAGUGCGGAAAGCGGGAAAUAGC
RNAcentral lists this unclassified non-coding RNA (111 nucleotides) under Chryseobacterium arachidis. RNAcentral's name for it is "Flavo-1 RNA". Lineage: Bacteria; Pseudomonadati; Bacteroidota; Flavobacteriia; Flavobacteriales; Weeksellaceae. The record is from RNAcentral.